Molecule: long non-coding RNA, 571 nt
Organism: Drosophila erecta
Lineage: Eukaryota; Metazoa; Arthropoda; Insecta; Diptera; Drosophilidae
Exons: 3
Source: RefSeq, a predicted model, not a curated record
GGCUGGCCAACACAGCGAGAUUCGAGAGGAGAGGACGAGUGCAGGACGAAAAGGGUCUUUCGUCACCCGGGGACUCAAACAGAAGAAGAGUCAGUAGAGCUGCAAGUGGUUAAAGGUCUCCAGCAGAAACAAAUGAACAACUUCUUAAAGAUUGUACUUAUGUAAAUCAACUGCUGCGCAUUACUGCAAGUCAUUCAGGUAUCUCUUACGUUUACCUCUUUGGGAUAAAAUUUAAAUCUACUUCCUAAUUCUGUAUUCCUGCAUGGCUGACUUAGUUUGUGAAGGCAAAAUUCGAAUGAGGUCAAAAAGUCAACGGUUGCAAUUCAUCGACCUCAGAGCCUCAGAGCCGGCUAUCAUUCCAGAGCUCUAACUUUCCUGAUGAAUCACCUGCUAAUUUAUCACCUGGAUUUUGGUGACCCUUGUGCAGAUGGAGGACCAGAGCUCUCGCCUUAGUUAUUAUUUUCCAUUCAUGAAACCUCAAUUGGAGUCCUCCUCCUUGCCUUACGCUCAUGCAUCAUGUGUGGACAGACCUGCAAAUUGUUUGUAAAUAAACGGGCGAGAGUCUGGGCGU